UCCCAUCUGUCGGACCCGCAGCAUCUUGAAUGGUCUGCCAUGUCGCCGGUGGCCGACGACGAAACUAACAAAUCACAAGGCAGCCCAGGUCUUGACCCUUCACACACACACUCCAAAAGAGAAGGAAUAGUACGUUGUAGAAGCCGAGUCACUUGAACACGUGGUGUACAGGUAUAAACUGGAAGGACUUAGCAACGUUGCUUCAAGGCGAUGGCUGGGACGAAACUCUAGCCCCGGCCAUCUCCCCGCUCUCCCGCCCACCAAGCAUCAUCGGAGGAUGCCGACGGGCAAAUCCCGUUUGGUGGACUACGGUGGCGGGCACUCGUUUCCUCUUGUUGCAGGGACCUCGAGCCGAGCGUGGCGUGCGGUCUUGGGAGACAUUAUGUUCAGCACAUCACAUAAACCUUUUUUAAGGUGGCAUAGUUGUGAUGGCUGCUAAGGCUCUGACGAAAGGUGCAACGACGGCAAUAUGAUCGACGGUGGAGGCAGCGAUGAUCAUUCAUGCCAGUCCACGAGACGGUUGAUGUCUUCAAGGUAGUUAACUGAAAAAGUAUGUCUUCAUCCAAAGAAGACUGUAAGGUGGCAAGAAUGCCCUGAUCGGUGAGGUACCACCAUGUGGACUCAGGGUUCGCAAAGGCCAAUGCGUUUCCCCGGUGCCCUGGGUGAUGGUCUCGGCCAAAGCAAGCAUGUCACAGUAUCUCGAAAAGGUUUGUUGGCAUGUGCCUUACACUGCGCAAAGUUUGUGGGCGUGAGAUGCGGCAGAUUUGGUGAGGGCUAGAGAUUAUGUGAUCUAUUACAAUUAUAUCCACAACUAUUAUUGCACUAUAUGUGUAGCAUAUCUACUUCACAUUUUACAUUUCAUAUGGUAAAUGAACAACUACAUAUGGUA
Lolium rigidum is the source of this 889-nucleotide long non-coding RNA. RefSeq lists it as uncharacterized. The transcript has 2 exons. The record is from RefSeq and is a predicted model, not a curated record. Lineage: Eukaryota; Viridiplantae; Streptophyta; Magnoliopsida; Poales; Poaceae.